UGUAAUUGCGGGGUUCUAAGC
This 21-nucleotide microRNA is filed under the name Brassica rapa (field mustard). RNAcentral describes it as "bra-miR9555b-5p". Lineage: Eukaryota; Viridiplantae; Streptophyta; Magnoliopsida; Brassicales; Brassicaceae. The record is from miRBase by way of RNAcentral.